UUUGCUCCAAAUGAACAGGUGACUUUGCAAAGGCUGGAGAUUGUGUUUGAGAGGCUAAAUGCGCACAAACUCAAGCUUGCUCCCAAAAAGUGCCACUUCAUGCAAUCAUCUGUGAAGUUCUUGGGGGACAGUGUAACCAAGGAUGGCAUCUCCACUGACUCAGAGAAAGUAAGAGCUGCAGUGGACAUCAGUGAGAAUGACUUGAUGGUCGAUAACACCAGCGUUCCCUCUCCCUCCAAGAUAAGAUCGUUUCUUGUAGGGAUGCACCGAUGCCGAUAGCGGUAUCGGGUAUUGAUCUGAUACCAGGCAUGAGUACUCGUACUUGUACUCAUAAAAUGGCCAACGAUACCAUGACACUGAUACACUUGACUGCAAGGUGGGCAGCGUCAUGUCAGCAGUAUGGAACUAUUUUCAGGUGAAUGAGAGCGACAAAAACAAAGCAGUAUGCAAAUUAUGUCCAGCAAAAAUGUCCAGAGGAGGAACAAAAUCUACCACUUACAACACAAGCAACUUGAUUAAACAUUUGAAAUCCAAGCACGACGCAGAAUAUAAGGAGUUCAUUCACGGCACAGAGAGACAACCAACUUUGCAGCAGAUGCUGGCUAAGCAGGAGAAAAUGUCCAGAGACAACCUUCGUGCGGUCAAAAUCGCACAUGCCCUUGCCGAGUAUACUGCCCUGGAUGACCAGCCACUGUCCGUGGUCGAAAAUUCGGGAUUCCGGCGUCUUCUCUGCAUACUGGAACCGAGGUAUUUGAUUCCUAGCCGUACCCAUAUCGUAGACAUGGUGCUGCUGAAGCUGCACGACAUCCACAACCUGUUGCAUGAUGUUAAAAUUUUAAGCUUCCCCACGGACAUUUGGAGCAGCAGCGUCAGCCCAGUGUCUCUCAUCAGCCUGACUGCACAGUGGAUCGACGAUGAUUUUUAAGCUGCAGAAGGCCAUACUGCAUGCAAAACAAUUCAGAGGUUCGCACACCGGCCAAGCCAUUGCAGAUGAGUUUGAUGUUAUGCUUCAGACGUGGGGCAUUAAUAAAAGUGCAGUCCAUGUUGUGCUACGAGAUAACGCGAAGAACAUGGUCAAAGCCAUGCGUGAUGCGGAGCUUCUGAGCCUCCCGUGUGUCGCACACACACUGCAGCUGGCUGUAAACGAGGGGCUGCUGGCUCAGAGAAGCGUAGCCGAUGCAGUGGGACGAAAAAUUGUUGGACAUUUUAAACACUCCGCUUUAGCCUACUCCCAACUGGAGGACAUACACGUGCGACUCAACCAGCCCGUUAAAAGACUCCAACAGGAUGUCCCGACCCGCUGGAACAGCACUUAUUCCAUGCUUCAGUCUCUCAUUCGGAAUAUUUGGGUCAGAGUACGACCUUCUUGACAACUUCAUUGUCACCGCUCUCCAGUGGUCACUUUUUGAGAAAACUUUGUCUGUGCUUGCUCCGUUUGAGGAACUAAUCCGAAAAAUGAGCUCACGUGAUGCACUUGCAUCUGAUGUCAUUCCUGCUGUGACCGUGCUUCUGAGACUUCUGACCAAUGAAACAGACAAAGACCAUGGCAUUAAAGCCAUGAAGGAGACUUUGGCUGGAGCCCUCAAGAGGAGCCUCGGUGACGGGGAAACAAACCCAAUGUACUGCAUCCCUACUCUUCUCGAUCUGAGGUACAAAGAUCGCUUUUUCUCAAACACUGACAUUGCUACAGAGGCCAAGGAGAUGCUGAUGCUGCGGAGGAUGUCCACAGGAGAGGCAGACAAGUAGGAGGAUCUUGGAGAGCCACCUGUCAGAAAGCUUCGUAAGGUGCAAGCCAGCAGCAGUCUGGACAGUUUGAUGAGAUAGCAGGUGAGCGGGAAUCAACAUCACCGGGCCUUGCACCAGAGGGAGCUGUCAUUCAGUUAGAGACAUAUCUUGGAAGGACCACAACUGCUCGAGAGGAAAACCCUCUACAAUGGGGGGCUCACAGAGUGUGAUUUCCAAUUCUGGCUCAAAUGUCAAAGAGAUACCUGUCAGCCCCAUGUAGCAGUGUGGACAGUGAACGUCUGUUCAGGUCAGUGUCCCACAUUGUUGAUGAAAAAUGCAACAGACUCACCGCUGAAAAUGCAGUGAAGCUUCUUUUUAUCAAAAAGAACCUGCCCCUCACUUACACAAAGAAAGUUUAAUCAUCACAGACAGAUGUUGUGAGGACAUGUUGAUCGCUUGAGAUACAGCCAUGGCCAUAAGUUUGGACACAGCAUGACUUACUAUGUCUGUUUUGAUGUCUAUUACAGAACAUAACUAAUAUUUUUUGACAGCACCAGUUUAAUUAGUCAACAAAUCAACAAGGGAUAUAAUAUUAUCAAUAAAUUCCAACAAUUGGAACAACUUUGUUCCCAAAACAUAAUAUUAGAAGAAAAUAACAAAAAAAAAUGCAGUACUUUCACAACCGAAUUUGGUCAGAAUAACAAAAUGACACCAAACUCUUUUGAUGUUUUUUUUAAAUAUGAAACUUAAUAUAGUUCUCAGGAGUUGUGUACUGUAUUGUAAGUGACAAUUUUGUGGUAUUUUCUAAGAUUCACAAGCGUCAUGGUACUUGUGUCCAAACUUAUGGCCAUGGCUGUACUCAGCCAGUUUUAUGUUGGUUCUUGAAUGAAUAUUUUGAGUAAAUGUUGAAGUUAAAUAUGUGGCAAAGCUGUUAAAACCACAGAAGCAGAAAGUGUCAAUUUUACACUCAGGUUUUUUGGUGAUGUGUGACAGUGCCAUGUUUAAAACACUUUUGUUAAAUGUCAGCACUCAGUAUGUGACAAAGUUUUACUGAAAUCUUACAAUAUGUGUGGCAGUGUAAUGUUUAUAAAAGCACUAAUGUUGAAUGGCAGUAUAUGACAAAUUUGUUAAACUUUGCUUGUACUGCAGUGAAACUUGUGAUAGUAACCCAUGUACAAGAAAAUCAAAUAACAGACAAUAUCUGUGGAAAAAAAAAUCAAAAUAACUUUAUGUGUAAUGGCGUAAGUACUCGGUAUCGGUAAGUACUCAAAUGGAAGUACUCGUACACUACUCGUUUUGGAAAAAAGUGGUAUCGGUGCAUCUCUAGUUUCUUGGUAUGGUUGGAUUUUACCAGAAAUUCUUUGAGGAAUACUCAUACAUUAGUAAGCCCCUGUUUGCCCUGACAUCUGCCGUGAAAAGACCAUGACACGCUAAAGGAAAAAGGUGUUCACCUGUGACCAGAAAGUACACUUCUGCUGUCUGGACAACUGAAUGCAAUGAAGCUUUUGUAAAGUUGAAACGGGCUCUGUUGGAUAACACCACUCCAGCUCACCCUGACUUCAGCAAGCCAGUUUUGCUGUCCGUUGAUGCCUCCUCCUUUGGCCUUGGUGCUGUGUUGUCUCAGCUAGCAGAGGUUGAUGAUGUUGCUUGACCUAUAGCAUUUGCCAGCAAGUCUCUUAACUUUGCACGGUCUCACUAUCCAGCCCACAGACUGGAGUUUUUGGCGUUUAUUUGGGCUGUUUGUGACAAAUUCAGUCACUGGUUGAGAGCUCACUCUUUCAUUGUGCGGACUGACAACAAUCCACUGACCUACAUCAUCAGUAAGCUCAAACUCGAUGCCUGUGAACAAAGAUAGGUUGCGAAGCUUGCCCCUAUUUGACUUUGACAUUAAGUACAUUCCAGGCCCUAAGGAUGUAGUCGCGGAUGCUCUCAGUCAUGAGCCUUUUGCGCGUCCAAGCAUGCUCCAUCGUCUCACAAAUGUCCCUUGUGGUGUGCUCAUGGAGGAAGCGAACGCUCUGAACUCUGUGUGCAGAACGUUGUUCACCAUUCCUGAGAUCUUCAAGCAAUGCUACAGACGCAUCAUCAAGCAACUGUGGCGUCCAAAAAUGUUGGGUCACAGGCCGCAGAUUAGUGCAUCUCACAGCAGAUGGUGUCUGCAGUUCUGGUUUGGUGUUUGGACCAAGAGAACCUGCUACCCCGAGUCUUCCUCCUGCCUCAGCUUGUUAAACCCAUCCAACCUUCUGAGCUGUCUGAGGUUUGUCCCCUGCCAAGGGAUAAAUUGAUGGCAAUGCAGCGUGUUGAUCCAUGUUUGAGCCAUGUGCUUCAGUUUGUGGAGCAUCAGAGGCACCCAUCUAAACGUGAACGUACACAUGAACCAGCUGAUGCUUUGCGCAUCGUAAGGCGUUGGGAAAACCUCACAGUCAGAUCAGGUGUGCUGUAUCGUGUUACAAAGGACGCUGUUACAGAGAGAAAGACGUAUGGGUAUGUUGUGCCCUUUGCACUGAAAGAGAGCGUUCUGAAGAGGGUACAUGAUGAGGCAGGGCAUAAAGGCCAGAGACGGACGCUGUACCAGAGUAGGCACUUUACCUCAUGCACUUCACUCAGGAAAAUCUCACGGUCAAGACUGCAGCUGGUUCAGAACACUGCUGCUCACCUUUUAACAGGAUCACGAAAAUUUAAUCGCAUAACUCCCAUCAUCCAAUCCCUCUACUGGCUCCCCAUGCACCUCCAUGUUGAUUUUAAAAUUCUUUAACCCUUUAAGCUGCAGUCACUUCCAGCCAUUUUCAGUACAAAACAAUCGCUAAUAUUCUAUUUGUAAAUCAAAAUAUGACGAGAAAUACAGGGAAUAUUGGACGCGCAUCACGAGGUGCAUUUCUUUGAAAACGACUUAUUCGUGGAGUAUAUACCGACUUCAAGACAUGUUUUGGACAAAAUAGUUUACUGGCUUGUUUCGUCUGGAUGUCCAAGGUUGGAUUAUGGCCGUUUUUUGUGGAAUAUUUUCAUCUGUGUGUAAUAAUGAACCCCGAAAUGUGAGUCGCGCUGUGUACGUUGAAGCCGUGUAUAGAGAACGGAUGGAUGGAUUUUCGUUGUUUGUCGGACAAAUGUGUUUAUAUUACCCGCUGUGGUAAUCACAUCUGAAAGUGGUUUAUACCGGCGGAUUCAUGAGAAUCUAAGCUUUCCAUCGGCGUAUAGUGUUUGUAUAAUCGCGUUUGCAGUUUCAGACAUUUAGCAAAUUGCUUAUGCAGAUCUCAAAGUGUACCGCGGGCGGGACACUGAAGCGCAACGGGUUAAACUCCUAGGCUGCCUGUUGACUUGAUGUUUGGGUCAGUUCUUCUAGAUUACCAGAUAGUGGACUAUGACGCCUAUGUGCAGUGCCUUAGGCGCGAUUUGGCCCAGGCUCUGAAAGUUGCUCAGAUUUCUGCCACAAAACAGCAGCAGAAACAAGCUGACCUUUACGACAGGAAGGUUAAGGGUGCCCAUGUGGAUGUGGGAGACCGAAUCCUUUUAGCGAACAAAGGUGAACGAGGGAGAAGGAAACUGGCUGAUCACUGGGAGAACCACCUCUACACUGCUGUGGAGAAGCAUGAUAACACUCAUAUCUUCAGGAUCAGGAACUGUGCUACAGUGCAGGAAAAGGUGGUUCACAGGAACCUCUUAUUACCUGUUAACUUCCUGCCUAUUUCCAUGAAACCUGAGGUUGAGGAUUCAUGUGUCAGUGAUCUGAUCACAGAAGGGCUCACUGCUUAAUGAUGGUGUUGUGGGCUCUGUUACAUUGCCUGUUUGUGACCCUGAGGACAGAACUACCUCGUGGAUUUCUCAGAUCCCAGCUCCCUCUGGAGAACAGCUGACCGUUUCAUGUGAUGUUCGUGUGGCUGUUGACUCUGAGGGGACUGCUGACAGAUCUGACUGCUCUGUUUCCUGUGACUUACCUGCUGAGACUUUUUGUCCUGAUGACCAACCUGGGACUCAAUCUGUUGCUACUGCGACAGCAUAUAGUGCGUAACCUUCUGUUGAGGGUUCUGUGGACAGACCUGGUGUUGGACAUGUUCUACUUAUCUCUACCUCCAGUAACAGACUGCUAAGCACAACGACGAGGUAUGGGAGAGUUGUCAGGCCUGUCGUGUGACUUAUUCAACAGAUGCACCAGAAGGUUCUUACUGGUAUUUAAUGUUCUUGUAUAUGUGGAUUUGUGAAGUGCGUUUAUGUUUUCUGGGGAUCUGUUUUCUUUAUGAAAUGAACACCUGUCUGAUAGUAGGAUCCAGGUGGUUUGUGAUUGUACUGUGUUUAUUAUGGGAUAUCUGGCAACCUGACAUGUACACAGGCAUGUUUUUCCUAUGAGUAUUGAAAGGAUUCACGACCCCUUUCUCAUUCUAAUUCUUCGGGAAUGGUCAUUGACUGGAAUGCUUGAUAUCGGUAAUGUGAACAGUACUGCAUUUUUUUCUUUAUCUUUCUCCAUGCAUUCUUGUAUGUAGUUGUGGAUACCUGGUAUAGUGUUCCAUGAUAGCUUGGAAAAUCCAAACUGAAUCUCCAUGUAAUCUCCUAUCUCCAUGUUAGGAGAUAUAGGAGAAUCAGUUUGGCAUUGGGCGAAUUGAAUCGCGUUUCCCUCCCAGGAAAGUUUGGUAUGACCAAUCAUAGCAUGGGAGGCGGGAGUUAACGCUGCGUCAUCUUCAGCGCCUGGAUUACCCAUAAAACACCUGUGCACCUCCCGUAACUAGAGUGCUUGUAUAACCAGAGUGGCGACAACUGGGGAUUUGACGCCAUUUUGUUUCCAUUCAUUCAAUAUGGGACGCGCAGCGCAAGGUGCACAUUCACGAAAACUAGCCAUUUGUGGAUUGCUUACUGAUUUCAAGACAUGUUUUGGACAAAAUAUUUUACUGGCUUGUUUUGUCUGGAUGUCCAAGGUUGGAUUAUGACCGUUUUUUGUGGAAUAUUUUCAUCUGUGACUAGUUUUGAGCCUUCAAAGGUGAGUUGUGCUGUUUACGUUAUUUGCUGUUUGUUGGACAAAUGUAUUUAUAUCACCCGCUGUGGUAAUCACAUCUGAAAGUGGUUUAUACCGGCGGAUUCAUGAGAAUCUAAGCUUUCCAUGGGUGUACAAUGUUUCUAUCAUCGAGUUUGCAGCUUCAGUCAGUUUAGUAAAAUACGUUUGCACAUACGAGCCGCUGAAGUUUAACGGGUUACCCCGUUAAACUUCAGCGGCUCGUAUUUCAUGCAUCUCCAUGAAUGAAAAUGGUCAAAGUCAAAAUAACCACAACUGCCUAAAAUCACAUAAAAACUUUUCUAUCUGUCAUUCACCCAUACAUCAUAACAUGAAAGUACAUACAUGGGACUAACCUGGCACAAAAACAAUGAUGAAGUCGGUUUCCAUUCCACUCUCCGGACUUUAUUUUCCCACAGUUUCCUUCUUUUACUAUAACUGGGAAAUCUAAACAUGUGGAAUCCCUUCUCCGAUCGAUUUGUGCACCCAAAGGCACAACAGCCCGUCAUUUUUCAGGUAUUUAAGAGAAAAAGGACCUAGAAUUACUCUCUGCGGUGUAAACAAUGUUAACAGGAAAACCCGGCGUUCAUGAAUUGGAAACAAAAUGGCGCCAUAGAUCACGUGACCAAAGUUUUUUGGACCCGUCAUGUCGCCACUCUGGUUAUACAGGAACUCUACCCGUAACCAAACACAAACAUUAACAAAGUUAUUCCUAACACCGGCAAUCGUUCAGAAGGAGUCUUUUGUUGUGUAGCCUUUUCAAAAAUAAGUGUUGUACUUGAGAGUACGCCCAUGUAUUCGCAGAUUUUUGUGACAAAAACGGUAGUAAUCAUUCACCGCGACGCUUUCUCGGCUGCAUGCCAUUGUUGUUUGGACUACAUGGACUUUAAGGUCGAUUUGUUUGUGCGUCACAUCCGUGUUACGCUGAUUGGUUCUUUCUCGUUCAAGCUGCAUUCGUUAGCCCCUCCUUUUUGAAAUCGUCUCCUAUCAUCACAAUGCCAGAAUGCCUUUAUUUGUAUUUACAUUAAUACAUAAAUAAAGUCAGUCUGGAUUUUCCAGGCAAGUUCCAUGAUGCUCUCACGGUGCAUAUCUGUUUUUUUUUUAUUUGUUUGUUUUUUGCUGUUCUUAUGAUGAUUUUGUUUUCAUUGGGAUGUGCAAGAGGAGAUCAGUAGGGGGGAGUGUAGGAGUUAAUGAUUCCAUUUGCCAUCUCAAAUUACAUAUUUGGUUCUCACGGUCACCACUGGAAAUGGCGUGGACGCACACGUCUGGGCCCCUGCAGACUUUUUUUUUUUUUUUAACACAAAGAGGUUAUACAGAGUGUUAACUUAUAGAGAAUAACACAAAAUGGAAACAACAACUUAUUAAUAUUACAGUGUAAACACAAAGAGUCAUAUAUAUAUAUAUAUAUAUAUAGAAUCUUGGUGGUGGUUGGAGGGGCCAUAGGCGUGGAUUGGCAGCCACGCUUCUGUCAGUCUGCCCCAGGGCAGGUGUGGCUACAAAUGCAGCUUACCACCACCAGAGUGACAAUGUGUGAGUGAAUGAAUGAUGGAUUCAUUGUACACGCUUUGAGUAUGCCUGAAUAGAAAAGCACUAUAUAAAUCUAAUCCAUUAUUAUCAUUAUUAUUAUAUAAAGGGAGUCUUACAACCAUAUGGGUAACAGAUCAUAUUCAUCCAUAUUGUGAGCAGAAGAGGAUGAAAUUAACUAACUGUGCUUGCACUAGGAAUUUGAAAUGAAAAGCCACUGUGGCUCACUCAUAAGAAUAACAAUGCGCCACAAAAAGCCUCAAAUUUCUGUGUCGGUGAUAGUGGAAAAAAUGGAGUCAUUUUCCUGCAUUCUGGUGCAUUUUGAGGUUAAAAAAAAAAAAAAAAAAAAGCUCAAUUAAACAGUUCUAUUUUAACUAUUUCAUUUCUACUUAUAUGUAUGUAUGUAUGUUGUUAUUUUUAAUACAAACAGGCAGUCAGGGGUGAAGACACAUUCUCAUGUAUAUCUGCAUUUGGCCAUUUAAAACCCUGUGCCUGAAAUAUGUUCAUGAUCAAGACCUUCUGACCCAUAAAAAUAUUAAUUUCAUGUCCAAUUUACCUUCUUUUCCUCCUAUGUCCAAUUCUUCAACCCUCACUAUGUACCAUAUCUCACAACUGUAGCAUAAACUCAACAAAAACCUCCUCUAGGGGAGUCAGAUUUUGUUAAGUGUUUAUUUUAUGUCAUACAAUCUGCACAGUUAACUCAACCUGCAUAUUUCUGUUCAAGUCCUAGUUUUGAAAUAGUCUCUGUUCUUAAUCUGCCAUACUGUGAUCAUUUAGCCCCUUAUUUUAUUAUUCUGUUCUUACAGACUGUAAUUUACUAGGAUUUUUUUUUACUUGUUGUGAUUUGGUGUUUUAGCUGUUGUAGCAAAUAAUUUCCCAGGUGUGGGAUAAAUAAAGAAUCUCAAUUCUAUUAUAUUGUUCACUUGUCCAAUAAAAAUAACAAUAACAAAUGACUUUAUACUUAAGAACUAUACUUAUAUUAAAAACUUCAUACAUAAAUAUCAGACAUAUCUUGCAUUCUUAGGGGAGUCCGAUUUUAAAUAAGGAGAUAAAGUUUUCUCAGUGAACACGUAUUUUAUUGACACGUGUAGAACACUGAUGGAAUAUGAACAAUAUUUGGUGACUACACCCUGUCCUGUCCUGAUGUGCUCAUAGCAGUGAAGCUGAGAGUAGUAGGAUCUCCCCCGAUGCCAUUUAGGGUGCGUAAAUACGGAUGAGAAGAGGAGAAACAUGUCACCUCAUCAUAUUUAACAGGAAAACAUGUCUGCAGUUCGGUACUUAAUCACAUUUAACCCGAAAACCUGUAGAAAACAACAGCAAAAACAGUAAACGUACAACAGAGAACCCGUCAAGUGGCCACAGAGUGAAAUGUAAGUCGCGCGCGUUCAUGUGAAGGGGGAGUCAGAUUUUUCUGGGGAGUGUAAAAAUUCUACAACACUGGGCACGUGAUCAAGAUUCGGGUGACUCCGACCAUUUCCGAGAAAAGUUUUUUUUUUCUUAUAUUAUCGCUCGGGCGUUUCGAAGAAAAAGUAAGUCGACCCCUUUUUUGUUGCUUUUUACAAGAAAAAUAGAGCACUACUGUGGCUGACACGGUUCAGAAUGACUGUGCCAUCCAGCAAAACGAUACACCAAUGACGCUGUGGCGAUCGCCUAGCACAAGCCUAGACUAAUAAUUAAUAAUAUAAACAAAUUUAUAUUAAAUCAGGGAAUUUUAACUAUUGAAUAAACAAGUCUGAUAUUUUUAUGGCUUUGUUGUUUGAUGGUGAUGUUAUUGCAGUAAAGUAUUGUUUGAGCUCAUUUUCAAAGUAUUUUCCAUUUGUUUUUUUCUUUGCCCAAUUCGUUUUGUGAAAAUGAAAUUUGCCCAGCAUGAUGAUAGUCUGUAACAAAAGGGAAAGACCGUAAGGUAUGGAGGGAUUUUCAAACUGAAAGAGGAUGUGGCUCUCCUCGAGGCCGAUCCUGUGGCCGGUUUUGUUAUGGAUUAGGUUUUGUAUAUGAUUCCAGAGGUUUUUACUGUAUGAGCAUUGAUAAAAGAGGUGGAUGAUGGUUUCUGGUUCUGUUUGGCAAGUCACAGUUAUAGUCUACAUUUAAUUUAAACCUCUCCAGGGUUUUUUUUUUUUUUUUGCCUGAUGUAUACUGACAGUCAAUAGAAACUUUGAGGUAGAAAUGUAGGCAGAAUUCUACUUGUAGGGGGGUUGUAAUUAUUCAUUGUGGAUUUACUGAUGAUCUAGUGCCCUGGUAGUUGAGAUAAUGAUGAGUUGUCAUUUUGUCAUGAUUCAUUGCACAUGGGUUGGUCACUUUGCAAAAGUAAACCAAAUACACACCAAGCAAUACUCAGUGAAUAUCUGCACAAUGUGAGAAUGGGUUUGAAGGCCUAUAUAAAGGCCCAAAAAAGGCCACCAUUGUUAGUCCAGUGAACAGCAUCAUGCCGCGUCUAUCACAUGAACAACGUCUCCGGGCACUGGGUAUGGUGGAGGCCGCUUUGAGCUACAGUGAUGUAGCCAGGCGUAUGGGCUGUUCCCAACCCACAAUCAGAAGCCUGGUCCAAAGCAUGCGCCGACGGAUUGCUGCCUGCAUCCAAGUAGAUGGAGGCCAUACUCGGUAUUGACUGUUGUGACUUUGUGUUUGGCAGGUGCCGUUUUCUUUUGUCAAAUUCUUUAUUUUGAAAUCAUUCUUGAAACUUUAGAUUUUUGUUUCUGUAUGCCAACAUGCUAAACAAAUGAUUCAUAUGAAGAAAAUCCAGUUUUGGGCUUCAAAAUAAAAAUUAUGUUGAAAAAUAUGGUCUCUAAGUUUUUAAUGACUGUCAGUGUACAUUAUGACAGAUUUUGUAUAUUUCUUUGACCUUAUUGUGAAUGAGCAGCUUCUCGCCAAACAGCCACGCCCCUCUCCAGUUUAUUUCCCCGUACAGUGAACUCCAGCAAGAGUUGGCUGCCGGUAGGUUUGAGGGUUGAAUGAGAUUCCUGAUACAUUUAUUUGAGCGGACUUUGGUUGUUAUGUCUAUGUUAUGGAUGAAUAAUUUGGCAUCAUUUUUCUGAGUAACAGGGUGGAAUUGGGAACCUUCAGGAGCUGCAGAACUUCUAUUGAUAUUGCGAUGGAAAUUGUAAUGUAUUCUGUUUGUGAGAUUGUGAGAUGGUAUUUGUUAAUAAAUUGGUUGUAAGGUAAGAUUUGUCCUUGUUCAUCGAUUAACUGAUUAAUCCAAUAAUACUCCCUGAUCAAACCAAGAUUUGUAAAAUAUGGUUUUGUUUCUGUGCUGUAUAUGUUGGUUGUUCUAUAUGUAGCAGCUGGUUGGCGAGAAGCUGCGUUUGUAGAUCAGCCCCCAGGAGAGCAACGCCUGUUAGUGGAAGUUUGAUGACUGAAUUGGUAUUUUGUCAAUUUUAUAAUUCCAUUUGAGUAAAAAAUGAAUUCCUCCUAAUUUUUUGAAUACAUAAUUUGGAAUUGCAUUCCACAUAUUAACAUUUUCUCUGAUGAGGCGACAUAACCAAUUAAUUUUUGAACAUAUUAUUCAUAGUUUCAAAACUUAGAACUUCCAACCCUCCAUUUCCCCUCUGGUUACAGAGAAUCUCUUUUUUUUAGAUAAAGGGCUUUGUUUCUCCAAAUGAAAUAAAAAAGCAUUUUAUCCAGUUCUUUGCAUAUGUUUACAGGUAUAUCCAUUGACAAAGACAUGUAUACAGAUUAGGGAUGGUUCGAUACCGAGUUCGAUCCAGGCCAAAAUGACCGGAUCGAGCAUCAGAGUUUUUUAUGAGAACUCGUUUGAUCCGAUCCAUAAGCCCAAUCUAUCUCAUAUAUCCUCAUCUUCACUUUUCACGACAUGCCGUAACACUGACGAGCUGUUGCCAUGGUUGCCAUGUGCCCGUGUUUUCAUCACGUGAGCAGAGAGUGAACAGAAGCCUGCAGAGAGCUGUGGUCAUGUCUGCUGUGUUUAUUGUUUAUUGUUUAUUGUGUAUUGGAUCCCCAUUAGUCGUCACCAUGGUGACGACUAUUCUUCCUGGGGUGGAGUUACUAUAUGCAACCAUCGUUGCAGGAAGUACUACAGAAGAGUACAAAACUCGCUCCAACGCCAAAAUAUAACAGACAAAAUUGUCGAGUUCAUUUUUCUGGAUGACCCACCACCUUGUGUGGUGGAAAAUGUGGGUUGUUGUAGUAUUUUUCGACCCCCCCCGCCCCUUCGCGUGAACGUGUGCGCCUUACGUUUCACUCUGUGGCCACCUGACGGCUUUUCUGUUGUACGUUUACUGUUUUUUGUUGUUGUUUUCUACUGUUUUUCGGAUUAAAUGUGAUUAAGUAGUGAACUGUGGACAUGUCUUCGUGUUCAAUAUGAUUAGGUGACAGGUCUCUCCUCUUCUCAUCCACCGGUGUCUAAAUGGCAUCAGGGGAGAUCCUACGCUGCUCUCAGCUUCACUCGCAUGAGAACGUUAGGACAAGGUUUAAUCGCCAGAUAUUGUUUAUAUUCCAUCAGUGUUGUACACGUGUCAAUAAAAUAAUUGUUCACUGAGAAAACUUUAUAUCUCCCUAUUUAAAAUUGGACUCCCCCAAGAAUGCAAGACGUGGUACCAAUAUAUGUCUAGUGCUUUAUACAUAAGUACUAUACUUAAUUAUACUAAACACUUUGUACAUAAAUCAUUUAUUAUUGUUAUUUUAUUGGACCAGUUAACAACAGAAAAGAAUAGAAAUUAUUUAUCCCAUAUUUGGGAGACUGCCCUCCUUGGCAGUCACGGCUGAAAUGUGAAUGUUUCUGAAGAAAAAUCUGUCCCUCAUGUUGCAAGACAAGCCAGCUUAAGUAUUUUCAGUUUUAUUGUUUUCAGUGAACAUAAUAUGAGUAUUGGAAUAGUGUUCAUUCUAAUAUUUAGUUUCAUGAGUGUUUUACAUUCAGUACAACAUCAGCGGCUGCAUGCAAAAGAAGAAAGGCAAUAGAUUGCACCAUCACUGUUCACCCUUGUUUUUCUGUUUUUGUUUUGGUGCAGCAAAUCAGGAGUACAGCCUAGAUUUUUAUUGUUUUGAUUGUGUGUCUUGAGAAGCCAUGUGUAACUUACUGAGUACUACCUACAUUGUUCUAGUGGAGAUGCUAUUAUUUUAUGUGAAUUCAUAAAACUAUUUAUUGCAGCCUUGCAAUGCCAUUGAGGUAUAAUGUGACUUUUCUGUUUAUACACUGGGAUUAUUUGGUUUAAUUUAAAUAUGUGCACCAAGUUGCAGUUUUAUUUCAAACAUUUGAAUGGUGCAGCUGGCUCUGUUGUGUUUACAAACGCUGUUAAAAGUGAUGUGAGCUUUAAGUUUUAAUAAAGCCACAGCAGUUACACAUAA
Long non-coding RNA from Acanthochromis polyacanthus (spiny chromis), 13519 nucleotides. RefSeq lists it as uncharacterized. NCBI's taxonomy places the organism in Eukaryota, Metazoa, Chordata, Actinopteri, Pomacentridae. The transcript is spliced from 2 exons. The record is from RefSeq and is a predicted model, not a curated record.